GUGGGGAUAGCUCAGAUGGGAGAGCGUGAGAUUAAAGAUCUGACGGUCACGUGUUCGAUCCACGUUCACCGCA
Molecule: transfer RNA, 73 nt
Filed under: Gossypium hirsutum (cotton)
Lineage: Eukaryota; Viridiplantae; Streptophyta; Magnoliopsida; Malvales; Malvaceae
Rfam family: tRNA
About the family: Transfer RNA (tRNA) molecules are approximately 80 nucleotides in length.
Source: Rfam by way of RNAcentral